This 581-nucleotide long non-coding RNA is filed under the name Homo sapiens (human). RNAcentral's name for it is "HSALNT0182009". The record is from RNAcentral. Lineage: Eukaryota; Metazoa; Chordata; Mammalia; Primates; Hominidae.
CGUACCUCUCCCUUAAUCUGGGAUGCCUCCGGCUCCAGGAAGAUGGCUAUUGAAAGGCAGGGGGUGGGGAGGAGGGACGAGGGUGUGGAGACGCGCCUGUUUCUUGCAGGAAACCUGUUGCCAACAUAGUCGGAAGCCAAGGCGUCCGACCUGUGGAAAUCUAACAAGCAUAGGGGAAAGCAAAGGCAGCAUCUUAGCCCUCCCGGAGCCGGUGCCGGCCCGCGAGCCCCAGCGUCUCUGCAGACCAGUCCCCUCCAGGGUCCGGCGGGGCCCGCGCGGUGGGAGGAGUCGGGCACUGGCCGGCGACUAACGGGUCCGACUGCUGACCAAGCUAGGAGAGACCCGGACCACGGAGACAGAGACCCCGGCAUCGCGACCCCCGAGGACCUCCUCUCCUCGCCCUGUGGCACCCACUAGUCCUGGGCACUCAGCCGCGGAGAGCCCCCGACCCCGCGCGCCCAGCCCCGGGGGAGCCCACCUCCUCCCCGCGGCCCGCCCGGGCCAUGCUCCCCCGGGGCAGCGGGUGAGCCCCAGCCGGGACCGGGAUCGGAGCCCGCGCGGAGCAUGGAUCCGGGCUGGGG